Vespa mandarinia (Asian giant hornet) is the source of this 2302-nucleotide long non-coding RNA. The record is from RefSeq and is a predicted model, not a curated record. NCBI's taxonomy places the organism in Eukaryota, Metazoa, Arthropoda, Insecta, Hymenoptera, Vespidae.
GAGAGAAUCAUCAGAUAGAAAUCGUAGAAUUAUGCGUGAUAGGUUGCGGCGAAGAUCGCGAGGUAAGAGGUGAAUUAAUCAAAGUCGCUCCUAAAGAGGAGAGCCAUAAUCGCGUGAGAACGUUAAGCUUAAGAUAGGUAACAUCGAGUUUCAUACACUUGGGAUAAGGGCUCGCGUCCUGUUUCGGUGAUGAACAUCGAUCUUCGAUAGUUGUAUCACGUUCGUUCGCUUCGAGAGCGAGGACGCAGCUUCAAAGACUUGAAAUAUGCGCCUUUCGAGUGAAAGAAAGAGAAAGAGAGAUAAAGAGGGAGAGAGCGAGAGAGAGAGAGAGGAAGAGAGAGAGAAAGAGGGAGAAAAAGAGAGAGAGAGAGAGAGAGAGAGAGAGAGAGAGUGGGAGAUACGUUGCUCAUAAUUUAUAACGGUCGUUUUCGCAACAAGAGCACGUCGAAAUGACCACCCGGUGGCAGGCUAAAGGAUGUUCGGUCAUAACAUCUGACGAAGCGAAACAUUAGCGGGAGGAUAUAUCAGCCGGCUCUCUUAUAGACGGAGCGUGGGCAGUAUCUUGGAUAUCACCCAGAAGAACGAGCACGAAAUGAUAUGUGAAAGAAGUCGUUCCUCCGCUUCGUCACUUCCAUUCUCCGCUUUGAACGCCCAAGGAGAUCUUUUCGAGACGUUUUAUCGGGAGACGGAUGGACGGACACGACCACGGAGCCGCGACCACGUAGUCGACGAAGCUCUCCGCGUUUCUCUCAAGCUUGUACAUUCGCUACAACAAGUUCCGUCGAUUUUGUGAUUAGUUGGAAGCCACGAUUAAAUUCUACUUCCUUCGAAAAUGGACGAUCUCAAUUCUUUCCUUUUCUUCUUCUUGACAAACUCGUUCGUCUUCACCACAGAUAUAUAUAUAUAUAUAGAGCGAAUGUGCGAGAUCGAAGCUAUCGUAAAAGAGAAAGAAGAAGAUCUUGUCUCGAAAGAACAUACGCGGUUAGCCACCUUACUGAAACAAGAUCAUCCGGUUGAGGAAUUUUACAAGAGAAAGAGAAAGAGAUAUAGAAAGCGACAGACGAAGAAAAGGAUUCUUCAUAAAGAAGAAGAAGAAGAAGAAGAAGAAGAAGAUGAAGAAGAGGAGGAAGUACUUUCCAGACGAACGAAAACUACGACUGUUCGCUCUGAUGCUUGUAUUUAUUAAGAGUGGCAGAAGCACGAUUCAGAGGCUACCGUAAAUAUUUUUGAACGCGAGUGUGCGCUACAAAGAUCCAGGGAUUGUGUUGGCGUGCCGGAGCUGCCGCCGUCCGCGACACGAAUGUCCGAACUCUCUUUUGUCGACAAAGAAAGAGAGAGCAAUAGUUAGAGAGAAAGAGAAAAAGAAAGAGAAAGAGAGAGAGAGAGAGGAAAAAGGAUAGGGAGAGAGAGAGAGAGAGAGAGAGAGAGAGAACAACGGGAAGAGAAAAAGAGAGAGGUUAGAAAGACAAGAACAAGGAUGGAGAUGAAUAGAUAAAUGGAUAGAGAUAGAGACGAGUGAGGGAGGUUAAAAAAGGGAGAGAAAGAGAGAAAGAGAAAGAGAGAGAAAGAGAGAGAAAGAGAGAGAAAGAUAGAGAAGGCGAACGUGUUCCAAGCAUCCAUGGAAGGCACGUCGUGCACAACGCUGGCGAACUCGUGUGUGUUCCGUGUUUCGAAUGCACGAAACAAGCGCUGCUUGUCCGCGGCCACCUGAGUUAUGAUCGCUUUCUGCCCACCCUGCGUGCUCGCUCGGUUGCCCACCUCCACGUUCGCUCGACUGCUCUCUUCUUCUUCUUCUUCUUCUUCUUCUUCUUCUUCUUCUUCUUCUUCUUCUUUCUCUUCUUCUUCCUCUUCUCUUUCUCCUCCUUCUCCUUCAUCUUUUCUUCUUCCUCCGGCAGUCUUCUCCCUCCACACGAUCAUCGGCCAUCUUGAUUCGAGAAAACCGGUUGGUUCUUUCACCAGAGUCGGUAUAUUCACUACCCGGUGGAUACCGCCGCCGUUUCGAGUUGACUUCUUCGAUAGCCGGCACGCACUACUCUUCUGUGAGCUCUUCUCGUGUCCGACCUUGUAUUUCCCAAUCUACUUGCUUCGAUUAAUAAUCUUUCUUAUCGUUACGCCGAAUUAAAUAUCGAAUCGAUCGUUGUCGUGAGAUCGUGAAAGAACUAAUACCGAUUUCAUAUAAAUUUGUUAAAUUAUUAUAUAUAUACAGAAGACAAAUUUUUAUGUGGGAGUUUCUACCUUCCGUUAUUUUCAAGUUAUACAAUGGAGGAUAAUAUUUCGAAUUCGAAGAUAAAAAGAGAGAGAG